This 450-nucleotide ribosomal RNA is filed under the name uncultured bacterium. Its description in RNAcentral is "partial 16S ribosomal RNA". It matches the Rfam family "Bacterial small subunit ribosomal RNA", at positions 354 to 796 of the family's 1533-position model. The record is from RNAcentral.
GUGGGGAAUUUUGCGCAAUGGGGGAAACCCUGACGCAGCAACGCCGCGUGAGUGAAGAAGGGUUUCGGCUCGUAAAGCUCUGUUGUCGGGGACGAAUGUGCAGUAUUUGAAUAAAGUACUGCAAUGACGGUACCUGACGAGGAAGCCACGGCUAACUACGUGCCAGCAGCCGCGGUAAUACGUAGGUGGCAAGCGUUGUCCGGAAUUAUUGGGCGUAAAGGGAGCGCAGGCGGGAAGGUAAGUCGGUCUUAAAAGUGCGGGGCUCAACCCCGUGAUGGGAUCGAAACUAUCUUUCUUGAGUGCAGGAGAGGAAAGUGGAAUUCCUAGUGUAGCGGUGAAAUGCGUAGAUAUUAGGAGGAACACCAGUGGCGAAGGCGACUUUCUGGACUGUAACUGACGCUGAGGCUCGAAAGCCAGGGGAGCGAACGGGAUUAGAUACCCGUGUAGUCC